This 2892-nucleotide ribosomal RNA is filed under the name Pseudomonas syringae. RNAcentral's name for it is "bacterial LSU rRNA". The record is from RNAcentral. Lineage: Bacteria; Pseudomonadati; Pseudomonadota; Gammaproteobacteria; Pseudomonadales; Pseudomonadaceae.
UCAAGUGAAGAAGCGCAUACGGUGGAUGCCUUGGCAGUCAGAGGCGAUGAAAGACGUGGUAGCCUGCGAAAAGCUUCGGGGAGUCGGCAAACAGACUGUGAUCCGGAGAUGUCUGAAUGGGGGAACCCAGCCAUCAUAAGAUGGUUAUCUUGUACUGAAUACAUAGGUGCAAGAGGCGAACCAGGGGAACUGAAACAUCUAAGUACCCUGAGGAAAAGAAAUCAACCGAGAUUCCCUUAGUAGUGGCGAGCGAACGGGGACCAGCCCUUAAGUUGUAUUGAGAUUAGCGGAACGUUCUGGAAAGGACGGCCAUAGUGGGUGAUAGCCCUGUACGCGAAAAUCCCUUUGCAAUGAAAUCGAGUAGGACGGGGCACGAGAAACCUUGUCUGAAUAUGGGGGGACCAUCCUCCAAGGCUAAAUACUACUGACUGACCGAUAGUGAACCAGUACCGUGAGGGAAAGGCGAAAAGAACCGCGGAGAGCGGAGUGAAAUAGAUCCUGAAACCGUAUGCGUACAAGCAGUGGGAGCCCACUUUGUUGGGUGACUGCGUACCUUUUGUAUAAUGGGUCAGCGACUUAUUUUCAGUGGCGAGCUUAACCGAAUAGGGGAGGCGUAGCGAAAGCGAGUCUUAAUAGGGCGUMUAGUCGCUGGGAAUAGACCCGAAACCGGGCGAUCUAUCCAUGGGCAGGUUGAAGGUUGGGUAACACUAACUGGAGGACCGAACCGACUACCGUUGAAAAGUUAGCGGAUGACCUGUGGAUCGGAGUGAAAGGCUAAUCAAGCUCGGAGAUAGCUGGUUCUCCUCGAAAGCUAUUUAGGUAGCGCCUCAUGUAUCACUGUAGGGGGUAGAGCACUGUUUCGGCUAGGGGGUCAUCCCGACUUACCAAACCGAUGCAAACUCCGAAUACCUACAAGUGCCGAGCAUGGGAGACACACGGCGGGUGCUAACGUCCGUCGUGAAAAGGGAAACAACCCAGACCGUCAGCUAAGGUCCCAAAGUCAUGGUUAAGUGGGAAACGAUGUGGGAAGGCUUAGACAGCUAGGAGGUUGGCUUAGAAGCAGCCACCCUUUAAAGAAAGCGUAAUAGCUCACUAGUCGAGUCGGCCUGCGCGGAAGAUGUAACGGGGCUCAAACCAUGCACCGAAGCUACGGGUAUCAUCUUWUGAUGAUGCGGUAGAGGAGCGUUCUGUAAGCCUGUGAAGGUGAGUUGAGAAGCUUGCUGGAGGUAUCAGAAGUGCGAAUGCUGACAUGAGUAACGACAAUGGGUGUGAAAAACACCCACGCCGAAAGACCAAGGUUUCCUGCGCAACGUUAAUCGACGCAGGGUUAGUCGGUCCCUAAGGCGAGGCUGAAAAGCGUAGUCGAUGGAAAACAGGUUAAUAUUCCUGUACUUCUGGUUAUUGCGAUGGAGGGACGGAGAAGGCUAGGCCAGCCUGGCGUUGGUWGUCCAGGUUUAAGGUGGUAGGCUGAGAUCUUAGGUAAAUCCGGGAUCUUAAGGCCGAGAGCUGAUGACGAGUGUUCUUUUAGAACACGAAGUGGUUGAUGCCAUGCUUCCAAGAAAAGCUUCUAAGCUUCAGGURACCAGGAACCGUACCCCAAACCGACACAGGUGGUUGGGUAGAGAAUACCAAGGCGCUUGAGAGAACUCGGGUGAAGGAACUAGGCAAAAUGGCACCGUAACUUCGGGAGAAGGUGCGCCGGUGGAGGUGAAGCAUUUACUGCGUAAGCCCCUGCCGGUCGAAGAUACCAGGCCGCUGCGACUGUUUAUUAAAAACACAGCACUCUGCAAACACGAAAGUGGACGUAUAGGGUGUGACGCCUGCCCGGUGCCGGAAGGUUAAUUGAUGGGGUUAGCGCAAGCGAAGCUCUUGAUCGAAGCCCCGGUAAACGGCGGCCGUAACUAUAACGGUCCUAAGGUAGCGAAAUUCCUUGUCGGGUAAGUUCCGACCUGCACGAAUGGCGUAACGAUGGCGGCGCUGUCUCCACCCGAGACUCAGUGAAAUUGAAAUCGCUGUGAAGAUGCAGUGUAUCCGCGGCUAGACGGAAAGACCCCGUGAACCUUUACUAUAGCUUUGCACUGGACUUUGAAUUUGCUUGUGUAGGAUAGGUGGGAGGCUUUGAAGCGUGGACGCCAGUCUGCGUGGAGCCAACCUUGAAAUACCACCCUGGCAACUUUGAGGUUCUAACUCAGGUCCGUUAUCCGGAUCGAGGACAGUGUAUGGUGGGUAGUUUGACUGGGGCGGUCUCCUCCUAAAGAGUAACGGAGGAGUACGAAGGUGCGCUCAGACCGGUCGGAAAUCGGUCGUAGAGUAUAAAGGCAAAAGCGCGCUUGACUGCGAGACAGACACGUCGAGCAGGUACGAAAGUAGGUCUUAGUGAUCCGGUGGUUCUGUAUGGAAGGGCCAUCGCUCAACGGAUAAAAGGUACUCCGGGGAUAACAGGCUGAUACCGCCCAAGAGUUCAUAUCGACGGCGGUGUUUGGCACCUCGAUGUCGGCUCAUCACAUCCUGGGGCUGAAGCCGGUCCCAAGGGUAUGGCUGUUCGCCAUUUAAAGUGGUACGCGAGCUGGGUUUAGAACGUCGUGAGACAGUUCGGUCCCUAUCUGCCGUGGACGUUUGAGAUUUGAGAGGGGCUGCUCCUAGUACGAGAGGACCGGAGUGGACGAACCUCUGGUGUUCCGGUUGUCACGCCAGUGGCAUUGCCGGGUAGCUAUGUUCGGAAAAGAUAACCGCUGAAAGCAUCUAAGCGGGAAACUUGCCUCAAGAUGAGAUCUCACUGGAACCUUGAGUUCCCUAAAGGGCCGUCGAAGACUACGACGUUGAUAGGUUGGGUGUGUAAGCGCUGUGAGGCGUUGAGCUAACCAAUACUAAUUGCCCGUGAGGCUUGACCAU